AGCAGCCGCGGUAAUUCCAGCUCCAAUAGCGUAUAUUAAAGUUGUUGCAGUUAAAAAGCUCGUAGUUGAAUUUCGGGGUCAAUAUAUUGGUCAUGCUUAGGUAUGUACUGGUAUUAUUGAUUUCUCCCUUCUGAAGAACCAUGAUGUCAUUAAUUUGAUGUCGUGGGGAAUCAGGACUGUUACUUUGAAAAAUUAGAGUGUUUAAAGCAGGCUUUCGCUUGAAUACAUUAGCAUGGAAUAAUGAAAUAGGACGUUUGAUUCUAUUUUGUUGGUUUCUAGGAUCGACGUAAUGAUUAAUAGGGAUAGUUGGGGGCAUUAGUAUUCAAUUGUCAGAGGUGAAAUUCUUGGAUUUAUCGAAGACUAACUACUGCGAAAGCAUUUGCCAAGGAUGUUUUCAUUAAUCAAGAACGAAAGUUAGGGGAUCGAAGACGAUCAGAUACCGUCGUAGUCUUAACCAUAAACUAUGCC
RNAcentral lists this ribosomal RNA (468 nucleotides) under uncultured Glomus. RNAcentral describes it as "SSU rRNA". It matches the Rfam family "Eukaryotic small subunit ribosomal RNA", at positions 569 to 1043 of the family's 1831-position model. Lineage: Eukaryota; Fungi; Glomeromycota; Glomeromycetes; Glomerales; Glomeraceae. The record is from RNAcentral.